This 228-nucleotide long non-coding RNA is filed under the name Elaeis guineensis (African oil palm). RNAcentral describes it as "long non-coding RNA (EGUI_LNC016134)". The record is from RNAcentral. Lineage: Eukaryota; Viridiplantae; Streptophyta; Magnoliopsida; Arecales; Arecaceae.
GGUAGCACUAUGUAGUAAAGCCCGAAAAGUUAUCCAAUUAAAAAUAAAAAAAGAAGCAUCUCAAGUGAAUGCCAUGCGGAAGUUGCAAAUUAGUUUUAAAAUCGGGACUUAGAAUUGCCUUGGCAUUUUGAUCUUUGGCAAGCAGUUAAAGGUGACUGAAUUUUUUUAGCUCUAUAUUUGUGAAACUAAAUGAAAGUUUGGAGGGUCGAAAGUGAAAGCACUUAUUUC